AAGAGGGAUUAGUUUGGAGAUCCAAUAGGAUAUAAGGCAAAUGUCUUGAAAGUAAUAUGGGCUGAACGUAGUAAAAUAUGUGCCCACACUUUUCUUUUUUGGAAAGUUGUUCUUGCACUUUGAGAAAUUAUACCUCCACUUUGGGUAUACUUUUGAUCGCCAAAAUAUCCCAGCAACUUAAACUUUGGGGAUAAGUAUUUUUGAGAAAGAAAAUAUGGGCAACAACGUUAGCUUGUUCCAAACCAAAACAGCAACGUUAUUCAAUUUAAUUAUCUCACCGCUUCAAUCUCGUUGUUUCGUUUUGUCGUGUUGUUGACUCCGGGCUUUCUUCGUAAUGAAGUAAGGUGGAAGAAGAUUAUUUCUUGGCAUAUGAGGUUGAAGGGCUAAUUGAGGAAAAUUCGUUAUUAAGUGCGUAUCGGAGACAAGAGGUUCAGACAGGUUGACAGAAGGAUUGCACUGACGAGGUUUGCCGAGUAUCAGCUUGGAUUGAUGAACUCCACUUAUUUCUGGAGCAUUGCCGAGUCAGUAUGUCAUAUAUGUAUUUCAGGUUAUGGGUACGUCGGGGCACUGUCCUAACUUAUAUAUAUAUAUAUUACAGUUAUGUAUUCUUAGAGGCUUUGCAGACAGAGUCAUUCACACAGUGAGUCAUAUCAUGUCAGUUGUAAUGUUGGCCUCGUAGGCCCUUGUACUUAUACAUAUGUAUGCUUUUGGGCUGUUGGUUAUAGAAACGUAUGUUGGCCUAGAUGGCCCAGUGUUUGUUAUAUAUGAUAUCAUCAUGGCCUUGUUGGCCUUGUUUGUCUUUCGGGGCAUAGAUGAUACGAGUCAUAGUUGGUUUGCUCGGCCCUAAGUAAGUGUUGGGUGCCAAUCACGCC
This is a long non-coding RNA of Lycium barbarum (goji berry), 872 nucleotides long. RefSeq lists it as uncharacterized. Lineage: Eukaryota; Viridiplantae; Streptophyta; Magnoliopsida; Solanales; Solanaceae. The transcript has 3 exons. The record is from RefSeq and is a predicted model, not a curated record.